CGCGUAGGUGGCGUAUUAAGUUGGGUGUGAAAGCCCCGGCUCAACCGGGAAUUGCGCUCAAAACUGGUAUGCUUGAGCAGGACAGGGGGAAGCGGAACUGUGGGUGAAGCGGUGAAAUGCGUUGAUAUCCACAGGAACGCCGGUGGCGAAAGCGGCUUCCUGGGUCCUUGCUGACACUGAGGCGCGAAAGCUAGGGGAGCGAACG
This 205-nucleotide ribosomal RNA is filed under the name uncultured bacterium. RNAcentral describes it as "partial 16S ribosomal RNA". It matches the Rfam family "Bacterial small subunit ribosomal RNA", at positions 568 to 774 of the family's 1533-position model. The record is from RNAcentral.